GACGAACCGAGCGAACGUUGUUCGGAAUCACUGGGCUUAAAGGGCGCGUAGGCGGGUGCUCAAGUCCGUGGUGAAAUCCUCCGGCUCAACCGGAGAACUGCCUCGGAUACUGGGUGCCUCGAGGGUGGUAGGGGUAUGCGGAACUAUCGGUGGAGCGGUGAAAUGCGUAGAUAUCGUAAGGAAGACCAGUGGCGAAGGCGGGUCUCUGGACAGUUCCUGACGCUGAGGCACGAAGGCCAGGGGAGCAAACGGG
This 253-nucleotide ribosomal RNA is filed under the name uncultured bacterium. RNAcentral describes it as "partial 16S ribosomal RNA". It matches the Rfam family "Bacterial small subunit ribosomal RNA", at positions 524 to 776 of the family's 1533-position model. The record is from RNAcentral.